AUUGAACGCUGGCGGCAGGCCUAACACAUGCAAGUCGAACGAGUGGCGUACGGGUGAGUAAUGUCUGGGAUACUGCUCGAUGGAGGGGGAUAACUACUGGAAACGGUAGCUAAUCCCGCAUACCAUCGGAUGUGCCCCGAUGGGAGUAGCUAGUGGGGGGGGUAACGGCUCACCUAGGCGACGAUCCCUAGCUGGACAGAGAGGAUGACCAGCCACACUGGAACUGAGACACGGUCCAGACUCCUACGGGAGGCAGCAGUGGGGAAUAUUGCACAAUGGGCGAAAGCCUGAUGCAGCCAUGCCGCGUGUAUGAAGAAGGCCUUCGGGUUGUAAAGUACUUUCAGCGAGGAGGCGUUACUCGCAGAAGAAGCACCGGCUAACUCCGUGCCAGCAGCCGCGGUAAUUC
This 406-nucleotide ribosomal RNA is filed under the name uncultured bacterium. Its description in RNAcentral is "partial 16S ribosomal RNA". It matches the Rfam family "Bacterial small subunit ribosomal RNA", at positions 30 to 526 of the family's 1533-position model. The record is from RNAcentral.